Octopus sinensis (East Asian common octopus) is the source of this 519-nucleotide long non-coding RNA. RefSeq lists it as uncharacterized. Lineage: Eukaryota; Metazoa; Mollusca; Cephalopoda; Octopoda; Octopodidae. The transcript is spliced from 3 exons. The record is from RefSeq and is a predicted model, not a curated record.
GAAGAUGGAAUGUAUGAGAAUUUAUUAUUAAUCACGGUCAUUGUUUCUACACAUCUAGCAUUGAUCCCUCAUGGGUGGGACACUCAACAAAUGGUUCAAGAGCAUCCGGUGGUGCAGAUGUGUCUCAUUGGGUGAUAAAUAGACACAACUCAUUAAAAUACAUUGCAGAAAUGUUAUUUUGAUGAGUUGUGUCUAUGUAUCACCUGAUGAGACAUCUGCACCACUGGAUACUCCUGAAACAGUUGUUUUGUAUCCCACCCAUGAGGGAUUGUUGCUGGAUAUGUCGAAACAAUUGUCGUGAUUAAUAAUAAAUUCUUGUAUGUUCCAUCUUCUAUCUUUCGUUUACCAUAUACAUAACUAUCACUGAGAAAGUGACCGUGCUUUAUCAAUAAAUUACAAUGUGUAAACCAUUACUUUUAUUAUCCAAUAUAUGUAUGUAUGUGUAUAUAUAUAUAUAUAUAUAUAUAUAUAUAUAUAUAUAUAAAAACACACAGACAUGUACACAUAAUUACAUAAAUA